UUACUACUUGGAUAACCGUGGUAAUUCUAGAGCUAAUACAUGCUGAAAAUCCCGACUGCGGAAGGGAUGUAUUUAUUAGAUUAAAAAACCAAUGCCCUCUGGGCUCUCUGGUGAUUCAUGAUAACUGCGCGAAUCGCAUGUGGCCUUGCGCCGGCGAUGGUUCAUUCAAAUUUCUUCCCUAUCAACUUUCGAUGUUUGGGUAGUGACCAAACAUGGUUGCAACGGGUAACGGAGGGUUAGGGCUCGGCCCCGGAGAAGGAGCCUGAGAAACGGCUACUACAUCCAAGGAAGGCAGCAGGCGCGCAAAUUACCCAAUCCCGACACGGGGAGGUAGUGACGAUAAAUACUGAUACAGGGCUCUUUUGGGUCUUGUAAUUGGCAUGAGUACAAUUUAAAUCCCUUAACGAGGAACAAUUGGAGGGCAAGUCUGGUGAACACGUUGCUGGUGCCAGAGAGAGCCGCCCCUCCGUAAACCGGUGCGGCUAGUCGAGUGCUCGCGUCAGUGGCGGGUGAGCACCGGCGAGACAACCUGGGUCGGGGAAGGCUAAGGGCCCCUCGGGGCCUAUGCUGAUCCCGAGCAGAGCCGUGCUGCGCAGCCGGCCUGUGUAGAGCGCGCCAAGGUGUCGGUCCGGGGGGGUCGCCUCCCCCGGGCUUGAGGUACGUGCCAAUCCCCUGCGAAAGCAGGGCCCUGCGGACGGAGCACCCGUCAUGCGAAGCCGCCGGGGGGGCAGGCGGCCCCGCCGGGGCCCCUGCCGUGAGCCACAGUGGCCAGCAGCCGCGGUAAUUCCAGCUCCAAUAGCGUAUAUUAAAGUUGUUGUGGUUAAAAAGCUCGUAGUUGAACCUUGGGCCUGGCCGGCCGGUCCCGCCUCACCGCGUGCACUGGUCCGGCCGGGCCUUUCCCCCCGCGGAACCCCAUGCCCUUCACUGGGCGUGGCGGGGAAACGGGACUUUUACUUUGAAAAAAAUAGAGUGCUCCAGGCAGGCCUAUGCUCGAAUACAUUAGCAUGGAAUAAUGAAAUAGGACGUGCGGUUCUAUUUUGUUGGUUCUAGGACCGCCGUAAUGAUUAAUAGGGACAGUCGGGGGCAUCAGUAUUCAAUUGUCAGAGGUGAAAUUCUUGGAUUUAUUGAAGACUAGCUACUGCGAAAGCAUUUGCCAAGGAUGUUUUCAUUAAUCAGGAACGAAAGUUAGGGGAUCGAAGACGAUCAGAUACCGUCGUAGUCUUAACCAUAAACUAUGCCGACUAGGGAUCGGACGAUGUUAUCUUUUGACUCGUUCGGCACCUUACGAGAAAUCAAAG
RNAcentral lists this ribosomal RNA (1298 nucleotides) under Ophiocordyceps sp. RNAcentral's name for it is "partial 18S rRNA". It matches the Rfam family "Eukaryotic small subunit ribosomal RNA", at positions 132 to 1103 of the family's 1831-position model. Lineage: Eukaryota; Fungi; Ascomycota; Sordariomycetes; Hypocreales; Ophiocordycipitaceae. The record is from RNAcentral.